UCUCUCCCCAUCUCUUGUCGUCUUCAUCUCUCUCCCCUCUCCUCCCUCCUCUCGCUUGCAGAGAUAAGAAGCGGCGCGCGGGCGCCGGCCGGAGGGAGGAAAGGAGCGGGACGCAUGCGCAGGAGGCGGUCGGCGACCGGCAAGAAAGGAGUAGCAUCCUCCGCAAGGAGAAGGACGCACACCUCACCAUCGCGGCCCCUGCCACGUUUUCCAUUGUCCUCCGCGCCGCUCACCGACCUCGACGGCGUCCUCGCCAUGAGUGGUGGCGGGCGAGCUCCCGCUUCUCCCCACCUGCUUCCCCGCCGCCCCUGUCGAAGACGACGACGCCGAUGGUGAUGGGUUUGAGGAGGGCACCGGGCCACCGAUGCGUCGAUCGGGCGUCGGCAGCUCGGGAGCAGGGUGGUGGCGGCUCGCAGGGCCGCAUGGUGCAAGCGACGGCGGUGUCAAGGAGGGUGUCAGCGGCGCGUGGGGCCCCAGGGCGCAAGCGGUAGUUACUGGCGGCGGCGGCGCGGGAGCGGGGUGUCGGGAUGCAAGCAGCGCUGUGGAGGAGAGCGUCGUCGGCGUCGAGCGCCCUUGAUCUGGUCGGCCGCCAGCUUCCGGAAGUGAACGUGCCAAAAUGUUCACUCACAUCACACUGAUGCAUCAUGACAAACAAAUGUUCGCUCUACACACUUCCGAACCACCGGAUUUCGGCGGCGGCUGCUGCUGCGACGGAGUGCAGAUUCAUCACCCUGACAAGGCUUCUGCCGUCCUCGCCGUACCUGAUGAGGUGGCCGUACAUCCGCAGCCAGUGGUCGGAGGCCUCAUCGACGGUGCGGUAGGUCCAGAUGUGUGGUCUGAGCCAGAGGCAGUCAACGAGGUCACCUCACGCGCCUCGUCUUCCACGCUGAUAGCAGUUGCCGGGGGGGGGGGGGGGUCUUCGUCUAGUGCUCCAGCCGCGAGCGAGGCCGACGCAGCCACAACCGGCACACGACGCCAUCGAAGGUCCGUGACGUGCCUGUCGUCGGACCAAAUACCGGCGAUGCCGAGGCCGGGCAAGCACUCGACGAGGUCAGCCUCAGCUCCGUCACCGUUCCCGUCUCAGUGGUAGCAGCCGAAGCAGGUGGAGGGGCUGGAGAUCAUCGAGAUGGCCACCGGCGAGCGGCUGUCCCGCCUGCUUCGUGCGCCGCCGCUCCGGCCGCCGUCGCCCCACUCCGCCCGCCUCCCUAGUCCACAUCGUAGGAAAGAAGAGAGAGAUGAUAGCGGGAAGAAGGGAGCAGUGAGGAUGACAGGUGAGGCCCACAUGGGUCCCACUUAUUAUUAUUAUUAUUUGUGUGUGAAACA
This is a long non-coding RNA of Oryza sativa Japonica Group (Japanese rice), 1323 nucleotides long. RefSeq lists it as uncharacterized. The record is from RefSeq and is a predicted model, not a curated record. Lineage: Eukaryota; Viridiplantae; Streptophyta; Magnoliopsida; Poales; Poaceae.